Molecule: ribosomal RNA, 2048 nt
Filed under: Escherichia coli
Lineage: Bacteria; Pseudomonadati; Pseudomonadota; Gammaproteobacteria; Enterobacterales; Enterobacteriaceae
Description: partial 23S ribosomal RNA
Rfam family: Bacterial large subunit ribosomal RNA
Source: RNAcentral
GGUUAAGCGACUAAGCGUACACGGUGGAUGCCCUGGCAGUCAGAGGCGAUGAAGGACGUGCUAAUCUGCGAUAAGCGUCGGUAAGGUGAUAUGAACCGUUAUAACCGGCGAUUUCCGAAUGGGGAAACCCAGUGUGUUUCGACACACUAUCAUUAACUGAAUCCAUAGGUUAAUGAGGCGAACCGGGGGAACUGAAACAUCUAAGUACCCCGAGGAAAAGAAAUCAACCGAGAUUCCCCCAGUAGCGGCGAGCGAACGGGGAGCAGCCCAGAGCCUGAAUCAGUGUGUGUGUUAGUGGAAGCGUCUGGAAAGGCGCGCGAUACAGGGUGACAGCCCCGUACACAAAAAUGCACAUGCUGUGAGCUCGAUGAGUAGGGCGGGACACGUGGUAUCCUGUCUGAAUAUGGGGGGACCAUCCUCCAAGGCUAAAUACUCCUGACUGACCGAUAGUGAACCAGUACCGUGAGGGAAAGGCGAAAAGAACCCCGGCGAGGGGAGUGAAAAAGAACCUGAAACCGUGUACGUACAAGCAGUGGGAGCACGCUUAGGCGUGUGACUGCGUACCUUUUGUAUAAUGGGUCAGCGACUUAUAUUCUGUAGCAAGGUUAACCGAAUAGGGGAGCCGAAGGGAAACCGAGUCUUAACUGGGCGUUAAGUUGCAGGGUAUAGACCCGAAACCCGGUGAUCUAGCCAUGGGCAGGUUGAAGGUUGGGUAACACUAACUGGAGGACCGAACCGACUAAUGUUGAAAAAUUAGCGGAUGACUUGUGGCUGGGGGUGAAAGGCCAAUCAAACCGGGAGAUAGCUGGUUCUCCCCGAAAGCUAUUUAGGUAGCGCCUCGUGAAUUCAUCUCCGGGGGUAGAGCACUGUUUCGGCAAGGGGGUCAUCCCGACUUACCAACCCGAUGCAAACUGCGAAUACCGGAGAAUGUUAUCACGGGAGACACACGGCGGGUGCUAACGUCCGUCGUGAAGAGGGAAACAACCCAGACCGCCAGCUAAGGUCCCAAAGUCAUGGUUAAGUGGGAAACGAUGUGGGAAGGCCCAGACAGCCAGGAUGUUGGCUUAGAAGCAGCCAUCAUUUAAAGAAAGCGUAAUAGCUCACUGGUCGAGUCGGCCUGCGCGGAAGAUGUAACGGGGCUAAACCAUGCACCGAAGCUGCGGCAGCGACGCUUAUGCGUUGUUGGGUAGGGGAGCGUUCUGUAAGCCUGUGAAGGUGUGCUGUGAGGCAUGCUGGAGGUAUCAGAAGUGCGAAUGCUGACAUAAGUAACGAUAAAGCGGGUGAAAAGCCCGCUCGCCGGAAGACCAAGGGUUCCUGUCCAACGUUAAUCGGGGCAGGGUGAGUCGACCCCUAAGGCGAGGCCGAAAGGCGUAGUCGAUGGGAAACAGGUUAAUAUUCCUGUACUUGGUGUUACUGCGAAGGGGGGACGGAGAAGGCUAUGUUGGCCGGGCGACGGUUGUCCCGGUUUAAGCGUGUAGGCUGGUUUUCCAGGCAAAUCCGGAAAAUCAAGGCUGAGGCGUGAUGACGAGGCACUACGGUGCUGAAGCAACAAAUGCCCUGCUUCCAGGAAAAGCCUCUAAGCAUCAGGUAACAUCAAAUCGUACCCCAAACCGACACAGGUGGUCAGGUAGAGAAUACCAAGGCGCUUGAGAGAACUCGGGUGAAGGAACUAGGCAAAAUGGUGCCGUAACUUCGGGAGAAGGCACGCUGAUAUGUAGGUGAAGCGACUUGCUCGUGGAGCUGAAAUCAGUCGAAGAUACCAGCUGGCUGCAACUGUUUAUUAAAAACACAGCACUGUGCAAACACGAAAGUGGACGUAUACGGUGUGACGCCUGCCCGGUGCCGGAAGGUUAAUUGAUGGGGUUAGCCGCAAGGCGAAGCUCUUGAUCGAAGCCCCGGUAAACGGCGGCCGUAACUAUAACGGUCCUAAGGUAGCGAAAUUCCUUGUCGGGUAAGUUCCGACCUGCACGAAUGGCGUAAUGAUGGCCAGGCUGUCUCCACCCGAGACUCAGUGAAAUUGAACUCGCUGUGAAGAUGCAGUGUACCCG